CCUACGGGGGGCAGCAGUGGGGAAUAUUGGGCAAUGGGCGCAAGCCUGACCCAGCAACGCCGCGUGAAGGAAGAAGGCCCUCGGGUUGUAAACUUCUUUUAUCAGGGACGAAACAAGUGACGGUACCUGAUGAAUAAGCCACGGCUAACUACGUGCCAGCAGCCGCGGUAAUACGUAGGUGGCAAGCGUUAUCCGGAUUUACUGGGUGUAAAGGGCGUGUAGGCGGGAGUGCAAGUCAGAUGUGAAAUCCACGGGCUCAACCUGUGGCCUGCAUUUGAAACUGUAGUUCUUGAGUGCUGGAGAGGCAGGCGGAAUUCCGAGUGUAGCGGUGAAAUGUGUAGAUAUUAGGAGGAACACCAGUGGCGAAGGCGGUCUGCUGGACAUCAACUGACGCUGAGGCGCGAAAGCGUGGGGAGCAAACAGGAUUAGAUACCCGAGUAGUC
This 443-nucleotide ribosomal RNA is filed under the name uncultured bacterium. Its description in RNAcentral is "partial 16S ribosomal RNA". It matches the Rfam family "Bacterial small subunit ribosomal RNA", at positions 338 to 795 of the family's 1533-position model. The record is from RNAcentral.